GACGAACGCUGGCGGCGUGCUUAACACAUGCAAGUCGAACGGAAAGGCCCUGCUUGCAGGGUACUCGAGUGGCGAACGGGUGAGUAACACGUGGGUGAUCUGCCCUGCACUUCGGGAUAAGCCUGGGAAACUGGGUCUAAUACCGGAUAGGAGCCAUUUUUAGUGUGAUGGUUGGAAAGUUUUUUCGGUGUAGGAUGAGCUCGCGGCCUAUCAGCUUGUUGGUGGGGUAAUGGCCUACCAAGGCGGCGACGGGUAGCCGGCCUGAGAGGGUGGACGGCCACAUUGGGACUGAGAUACGGCCCAGACUCCUACGGGAGGCAGCAGUGGGGAAUAUUGCACAAUGGGCGCAAGCCUGAUGCAGCGACGCCGCGUGGGGGAUGACGGCCUUCGGGUUGUAAACUCCUGUCGCUAGGGACGAAGCUUUUUGUGACGGUACCUAGAUAAGAAGCACCGGCUAACUACGUG
RNAcentral lists this ribosomal RNA (465 nucleotides) under uncultured bacterium. Its description in RNAcentral is "partial 16S ribosomal RNA". It matches the Rfam family "Bacterial small subunit ribosomal RNA", at positions 28 to 507 of the family's 1533-position model. The record is from RNAcentral.